This 1273-nucleotide ribosomal RNA is filed under the name human gut metagenome. Its description in RNAcentral is "bacterial LSU rRNA". It matches the Rfam family "Bacterial large subunit ribosomal RNA", at positions 1636 to 2925 of the family's 2925-position model. The record is from RNAcentral.
AGGUGCCCGUACCGCAAACCGACACAGGUAGGUAGGAAGAAGAUUCUAAGGCCAACGGGAGAAGGGUUGUUAAGGAACUCGGCAAAUUGACCCCGUAACUUCGGGAGAAGGGGUGCUCCAGAGAUGGAGCCGCAGAGAAUCGGCCCAAGCAACUGUUUACCAAAAACACAGGUUUGUGCUAAAUCGAAAGAUGACGUAUACGAGCUGACGCCUGCCCGGUGCUGGAAGGUUAAGAGGAGAUGUGCAAGCAUUGAAUCGAAGCCCCAGUGAACGGCGGCCGUAACUAUAACGGUCCUAAGGUAGCGAAAUUCCUUGUCAGGUAAGUUCUGACCCGCAUGAAAGGCGUAAUGAUUUGGGCACUGUCUCAACAGCCCGCCCGGCGAAAUUGUAGUACCGGUGAAGAUGCCGGUUACCCGCGACAAGACGGAAAGACCCCAUGGAGCUUUACUGUAGCCUAAUAUUGGGUUUCGAUGUUGCAUGCACAGGAUAGAUGGGACUCUUGGAAACCAAGGCUUUGGCUUUGGCGGAGAGGCCGUUGGGAUACCAUCCUUGCGAUAUUGGAAUUCUAACCUGCGGCUCUGAAUCGAGUCGGGGGACAUUGUUAGGUGGGCAGUUUGACUGGGGCGGUCGCCUCCUAAAAAGUAACGGAGGCGUUCAAAGGUUCGCUCAGCUUGAACGGAAAUCAAGCAAAAGAGUGCAAACGCAGAAGCGAGCCUAACUGCGAGACUGACGGGUCGAGCAGUAACGAAAGUUGGAGUUAGUGAUCCGGUGGUAUGUGAGUGGAAAUGCCAUCGCUCAACGGAUAAAAGUUACCCUGGGGAUAACAGGCUGAUCUCCCCCAAGAGUCCACAUCGACGGGGAGGUUUGGCACCUCGAUGUCGGCUCAUCGCAUCCUGGGGCUGUAUUCGGUCCCAAGGGUUUGGCUGUUCGCCAAUUAAAGCGGUACGCGAGCUGGGUUCAGAACGUCGUGAGACAGUUCGGUCCCUAUCUGUCGUGGGCGCAGGAUAUUUGAUGGGAGCUGUCCCUAGUACGAGAGGACCGGGACGGACGUACCUCUGGCGCACCAGUUGUUCCGCCAGGAGCAUAGCUGGGCAACUACGUACGGAUCGGAUAAACGCUGAAAGCAUCUAAGCGUGAAGCCGACCCAAAGAUAAGAUAUCCCACUGAUUUAAUCAGGUAAGAUCCCUUGUAGACUACGAGGUUGAUAGGCACGAUGUGUAAGUGGAGUGAUCCAUUCAGCAAGUGUGUACUAAUAGAUCGAGGGCUUGACCAC